Lolium rigidum is the source of this 697-nucleotide long non-coding RNA. RefSeq lists it as uncharacterized. The record is from RefSeq and is a predicted model, not a curated record. The transcript is spliced from 3 exons. Lineage: Eukaryota; Viridiplantae; Streptophyta; Magnoliopsida; Poales; Poaceae.
CUUCUCUCUUCCACGAUGCUUCUGCGGGAUGUUCCGCCGCCGGCGACCUCUCUCCAGUCCCUAACUCCGGCGCAACCGCCCCCUCUCCCCCUCCAGCCAGCAUGAAGUCCUGAUGUAGACCUACCCCCGUCCGUCGUCCUCUUCUCCAGUAUUGUUCCGGCGGCGGCGGCGGCGGCCUUGGCCCUUGGCCUCCGCGUGGAUGCGCUCAAGGUGAAGAACGACAUAACCUGCGCAAGGACACCAUCCAGCUCGUGCCCGACCCCGAAGACCCGGACCGCCGCCUCGUUUCCUUCACCUUCGAGGCGGUCACAGACAACAGCUUGCUUAAAGAAUACUUCGCCAAGGAAAAGAGUGCAGUUUUUCUUCAGUGUAUCCUGACUUACAGACACCAACAAAGAGGAAUUAUUCCCACUGGUUGUGUGCGCAGAAGCUUGUCCGUUUCCUGAGGAAGCAGGUUGUGCAGGUCACCGCGUGGCUGCAUGACCCUGCUCUGUGCCAAAGAAGCUGACAGUUACGGUGCCGGCGCCUGAUGUGCUGCCUACGCAGCCCAGCUUAGACGAGGACGUCGAGUCGCCCCCAUCUCCAAGCUCCCCUACGCAGAAGCGCACGCAGGAGUACAAUCUUCUUCUGCGUGAAUGAGGUCAUUUACCGCGGCCCUUUGAUGAUGGACGGAAGCGAUUUUUACCUUGACGAUGAC